Molecule: long non-coding RNA, 2088 nt
Filed under: Equus caballus (horse)
Lineage: Eukaryota; Metazoa; Chordata; Mammalia; Perissodactyla; Equidae
Description: lncRNA (ENSECAG00000050913.1)
Source: RNAcentral
AAACUGCCCCCAGCUCUGCCACCCCCUCAAGCUCCUACACCGGCUCCCUUCCCUUCAGGACUCGACUUCCACAAGAGUCACACACGCGUGUCCACUUCCUCUUCACCCACGUGCCUGUGAGAGCCUCCUCGCACACACGCCUGCAAUCCCGAGCAGCGGGUCCGCCUGCAGCGCUCUAACGACACGAGCCUUCCACCAGCGAGGACCUGAAGCAGAAAGCAAGUGCCUGUUCCCUGCACUGGUCCUCCUCUGCACCUCGCUCUCUGAAGCGCACACUCUCCUCCUCGAAACUCCACCUUCCAGCGGGUUCGGCGUCAGGGGAAGCUUCUGGCUCUGCCUCUCUGUCCUCGCUGAUUUCUCCUCUAGUUUCUAGGAGUGGGCUAGGCAGGGACAGCCGCAAGAUACCCUAAACCUUCAGGAUGUCCUAACUUGGCAAAUGCCGGAACACCUGCAGAGGUUCGGAGCUUCCUCCUGAGUCGUGUUGGAGGCAGGGGCCCGUCUCCUGUGUUUCAGUCACUGCCACCAGGUAAGCGCUUCGAUAACUUUUGCUAAAGCGUAACUCUCACUUGAUGACCAUUUUCUACAAAGAAGUAAAUCACCUAAAUGAGAAUUACCGCCUCUACCACGAUGAGGAAGAAAAACUCAGGAUGCCGGGCAACUUGGUAGAUUCACGCCGAGCCAGGGGGCUCACUCCCGCAGCAGCCGGCCCGGUCACGCCUCGAAAGAUCUGCGAGCGCCAUGCCGUUAACUCUCAGCCUCUUCAAAACAUACAGACUCCAAGCGCCGCACCAGACACGCGAACGUCAGGGCAUCCUCCCGCUCCAGCAGCGCAGGCUCUCCGCGGCCUUCUCUUUCACCUCGAGGAUGCGACCGUCACUCCCAGGUGGACGGGGCUUCCUCUGGCACCCUGGGCUCUGUCCUCCGAUCCCGACACCAUCACGCCCACACUCUGUCGGGUGCCUCAGACUCAUAUGCCUGACACUAAUCAAUCGUCCCCAGCCCCACCUCCUCCUGCGGUUCUGAGUUGAGUCAAGGACGUGACGGGAACCUCCAAGGUACCAGAACCUAACCUUCAGGAUGAUGCUGUCCUCUGCCCUCCGGCCUGCUCCGAAGCUCCAGGCUCCCUGAGCUCAGGCCAGGCAGUGUGUUCAGUUGGCUGCCCCUGUGGCCUGCAUGUGUUCCUGUACACACACGGCAGGGGCUGGAGCGUGUCUGUGAGUGCGUGAGCUCCCCGUACACACACAGCAGGUGCUGGAGCGUGUCUGUGAGCACGUGAGCACCCUGUACACAUAUGGCACGUGCCAGAGUGCGCCUGUGAGCAUGUGAGCGCCCUGUACACACACGGCAGGUGCUGGAGUGCGUCUGUGAGGGUGUGAGCGCCCUAUACACAUACGACAGGCGCUUGAACAUGUCUGAGCACCCCGUACACACACAGCAGGUGCCAGAGCACGUCUGUGAGCACGUGAGCACCCUGCACACACAUGGCAGGUGCUGGAGUGUGUCUGUGAGCGCGUGAGCACCCUGUACACACAUGGCACGUGCCAGAGUGCGCCUGUGAGCAUGUGAGCGCCCUGUACACACACGGCAGGUGCUGGAGUGCGUCUGUGAGCAUGUGAGCGCCCUGUACAUACAUGACAGGUGCCGGAGCAUGUCUGUGAGCACGUGAGUGCCCUGUACACACACGGCAGGUGCUGGAGCAUGUCUGUGAGCGCCCCUGUACACACACAGCAGGUGCUGGAAUGUGUCUGUGAGUGUGCGAGCACCCUGUACACACAGGGCAGGUGCUGGAGCGUGUCUGUGAGCGCAUGAGUGCCCUGUACACACAUGGCAGAUGCCGGAGCAUGUCUGUGAGCGCCCCGGACACACACAGCAGGUGCUGGAGAGUGUCUGUGAGCGCAUGCGUGGCCCGUACACACACGGCAGAUGCCGGAGCACGUCUGUGAGCGCCCCGUACACACACAGCAGGUGCUGGAGUAUGUCUGUGAACGCGUGAGUGCCGGUACCCGUGGUGAAGGGACACCCUCUCAGCCUCGCUUGGGUCCAGCUUCAGCCCUCAAGGCUUCGAUGUCCAGUACGAGCUGAUCCUAC